RNAcentral lists this ribosomal RNA (211 nucleotides) under Staphylococcus aureus. Its description in RNAcentral is "partial 23S ribosomal RNA". It matches the Rfam family "Bacterial large subunit ribosomal RNA", at positions 2714 to 2925 of the family's 2925-position model. The record is from RNAcentral. Lineage: Bacteria; Bacillati; Bacillota; Bacilli; Caryophanales; Staphylococcaceae.
GUACCAGUUGUCGUGCCAACGGCAUAGCUGGGUAGCUAUGUGUGGACGGGAUAAGUGCUGAAAGCAUCUAAGCAUGAAGCCCCCCUCAAGAUGAGAUUUCCCAACUUCGGUUAUAAGAUCCCUCAAAGAUGAUGAGGUUAAUAGGUUCGAGGUGGAAGCAUGGUGACAUGUGGAGCUGACGAAUACUAAUCGAUCGAAGACUUAAUCAAAA